This 301-nucleotide ribosomal RNA is filed under the name uncultured bacterium. Its description in RNAcentral is "partial 16S ribosomal RNA". It matches the Rfam family "Bacterial small subunit ribosomal RNA", at positions 509 to 807 of the family's 1533-position model. The record is from RNAcentral.
CAGUCGCCGCGGUAAUACGAAGGUCCCGAGCGUUGUUCGGAAUCACUGGGCGUAAAGGGAGCGUAGGCGGCGUGGUAAGUCAGAUGUGAAAUCCCGGGGCUCAACCCCGGAACUGCAUCCGAUACUGCCAUGCUAGAGGAUUGGAGAGGUAGCUGGAAUUCUUGGUGUAGCAGUGAGAUGCGUGGAGAUCAAGAGGAACACUCGUGGCGAAAGCGAGCUACUGGACAAUAACUGACGCUGAGGCUCGAAGGCCAGGGUAGCGAAAGGGAUUAGAUACCCCAGUAGUCCCUGUCUCUUAUAC